UGCCAGCAGCCGCGGUAAUACGGAGGGGGUUAGCGUUGUUCGGAAUUACUGGGCGUAAAGCGUGUCUAGGUGGAUAGGAAAGUCGGGUGUGAAAGACCUGGGCUCAACCCAGGAAAUGCGCCCGAAACUUCUUAUCUUGAGUCAUGGAGGGGCGAGCAGAAUUCCUAGUGUAGCAGUGAAAUGCGUAGAUAUUAGGAAGAAUACCUGAGGCGAAGGCGGCUCGCUGGCCAUGUACUGACACUGAAGCACGAAAGCGUGGGGAGCAAACAGGAUUAGAUA
This 279-nucleotide ribosomal RNA is filed under the name uncultured bacterium. RNAcentral describes it as "partial 16S ribosomal RNA". It matches the Rfam family "Bacterial small subunit ribosomal RNA", at positions 506 to 784 of the family's 1533-position model. The record is from RNAcentral.